RNAcentral lists this ribosomal RNA (1289 nucleotides) under Escherichia coli. RNAcentral's name for it is "partial 23S ribosomal RNA". It matches the Rfam family "Bacterial large subunit ribosomal RNA", at positions 1528 to 2798 of the family's 2925-position model. Lineage: Bacteria; Pseudomonadati; Pseudomonadota; Gammaproteobacteria; Enterobacterales; Enterobacteriaceae. The record is from RNAcentral.
UUUUCCAGGCAAAUCCGGAAAAUCAAGGCUGAGGCGUGAUGACGAGGCACUGCGGUGCUGAAGCAACAAAUGCCCUGCUUCCAGGAAAAGCCUCUAAGCAUCAGGUAACAUCAAAUCGUACCCCAAACCGACACAGGUGGUCAGGUAGAGAAUACCAAGGCGCUUGAGAGAACUCGGGUGAAGGAACUAGGCAAAAUGGUGCCGUAACUUCGGGAGAAGGCACGCUGAUAUGUAGGUGAAGUCCCUCGCGGAUGGAGCUGAAAUCAGUCGAAGAUACCAGCUGGCUGCAACUGUUUAUUAAAAACACAGCACUGUGCAAACACGAAAGUGGACGUAUACGGUGUGACGCCUGCCCGGUGCCGGAAGGUUAAUUGAUGGGGUUAGCGCAAGCGAAGCUCUUGAUCGAAGCCCCGGUAAACGGCGGCCGUAACUAUAACGGUCCUAAGGUAGCGAAAUUCCUUGUCGGGUAAGUUCCGACCUGCACGAAUGGCGUAAUGAUGGCCAGGCUGUCUCCACCCGAGACUCAGUGAAAUUGAACUCGCUGUGAAGAUGCAGUGUACCCGCGGCAAGACGGAAAGACCCCGUGAACCUUUACUAUAGCUUGACACUGAACAUUGAGCCUUGAUGUGUAGGAUAGGUGGGAGGCUUUGAAGUGUGGACGCCAGUCUGCAUGGAGCCGACCUUGAAAUACCACCCUUUAAUGUUUGAUGUUCUAACGUUGACCCGUAAUCCGGGUUGCGGACAGUGUCUGGUGGGUAGUUUGACUGGGGCGGUCUCCUCCUAAAGAGUAACGGAGGAGCACGAAGGUUGGCUAAUCCUGGUCGGACAUCAGGAGGUUAGUGCAAUGGCAUAAGCCAGCUUGACUGCGAGCGUGACGGCGCGAGCAGGUGCGAAAGCAGGUCAUAGUGAUCCGGUGGUUCUGAAUGGAAGGGCCAUCGCUCAACGGAUAAAAGGUACUCCGGGGAUAACAGGCUGAUACCGCCCAAGAGUUCAUAUCGACGGCGGUGUUUGGCACCUCGAUGUCGGCUCAUCACAUCCUGGGGCUGAAGUAGGUCCCAAGGGUAUGGCUGUUCGCCAUUUAAAGUGGUACGCGAGCUGGGUUUAGAACGUCGUGAGACAGUUCGGUCCCUAUCUGCCGUGGGCGCUGGAGAACUGAGGGGGGCUGCUCCUAGUACGAGAGGACCGGAGUGGACGCAUCACUGGUGUUCGGGUUGUCAUGCCAAUGGCACUGCCCGGUAGCUAAAUGCGGAAGAGAUAAGUGCUGAAAGCAUCUAAGCACGAAACUUGCC